Non-coding RNA from Oryza sativa Japonica Group (Japanese rice), 897 nucleotides. The record is from RefSeq and is a predicted model, not a curated record. NCBI's taxonomy places the organism in Eukaryota, Viridiplantae, Streptophyta, Magnoliopsida, Poales, Poaceae.
UUCUGUAUACGUUUCGUAAAGAGUUGGUUCUUCUAAGAUCUAAUAAAGCCAGUUUGCGAGGUGUGUACAUGCAUAAUCAUUCGUCUUGCAUAUCAUAUAUACCAUAUGAUUACGAAUAACCACACUGAAUUCUGUAUACGCUUCGUAAAGAGCUGGUUCCUCGAAGAUCUGAUGAAGCCAGUUUACAAGGUGAAGCCAGAUUGCAAGAGGUGGUUCUUCAAAUAUCUGAUGAAGCCAGUUUGCAAGAUGAAGCCAGUUUGCAAGAUGUACUCUUGAAGGUGAUUGAACGGGCGAGACCAUGGGCGCCGUUCUUCUUGGCCGGACUAGUCAGCACGGCCUACGGCAUGGUUAUUGUGUUCUUCGCCGGGGGCCAGCCGGCAAGUGCCUUCUUCCUUGGUGAUUUCGGUGUCUGCUUCAUUCUCGUCGGCUUGAUUGUGAUCAUCGCCAGAAGCCAGCAUGAACGAACACAGGAUGACAAGGGCCUUUGGGCUGGUACUUCCCUUGUCUUUUACAUUUUGGUGCUCCUUCUGGCCGCUUUCAUAGGAAAUCGUACUAGUGCUUGAUUCCAGUCUGUUCUACUACUACACGUCCUGUAGUAUUACUGCUGUUCCCUUUUCACACUAAAAUGUAACGUCCAAAUUUACGAUCACUCUUAAGUCCUAUAUUCCAUCAUCUGCUGCGUCAGGUGGCUCUUACAUGACGAUGAAGGCUCUGCUUUCGCUUGUGUGAGUAGAAAGGUCGUGUGUGGUGUGGUAUGCUGGUAGCAGGCUGUGCCGUUCUGUUAGUUUGUCUAAGGUUGUUCUGUGCUGUGCUGUUACCUGUUAUUUGCGCCCUUUGCUGGCAUGUAAGAUACUAUGUUAUGCUUUCAAGUAAAGCUGGGUAAUAAUGAGCUUUUUA